CGACAGAAAGCGAUUAUGUCGCACCCGGUUUCGACCCGGACUUUGGUUGGUGUAAUUCCUAUCUCUGUUUA
This 71-nucleotide transfer RNA is filed under the name Calliotropis micraulax. RNAcentral describes it as "tRNA-Arg". Lineage: Eukaryota; Metazoa; Mollusca; Gastropoda; Seguenziida; Calliotropidae. The record is from RNAcentral.